This is a non-coding RNA of Podarcis lilfordi (Lilford's wall lizard), 134 nucleotides long. The record is from the annotation of a GenBank genome assembly. Lineage: Eukaryota; Metazoa; Chordata; Lepidosauria; Squamata; Lacertidae.
CUUCCAGUAGCACCUUAGAGAAAAACUAAAUUUGUUAUUGGUAUGAGCUUUCGUGUGCAUGCACACUUCUUCAGAUACACACGAAAGCACAUCCCAAUAACAAACUUAGUUGUUCUCUAAGGUGCUACUGGAAG